RNAcentral lists this unclassified non-coding RNA (228 nucleotides) under uncultured fungus. RNAcentral describes it as "sequence contains ITS1, 5.8S rRNA gene". The stretch from base 180 to 228 matches the Rfam family "5.8S ribosomal RNA", at positions 1 to 49 of the family's 154-position model. The record is from RNAcentral. Lineage: Eukaryota; Fungi.
UCUCCGUAGGUGAACCUGCGGAGGGAUCAUUACUGAGUGAGGGCUCACGCCCGACCUCCAACCCUUUGUGAACACAACUUGUUGCUUCGGGGGCGACCCUGCCGUUUCGAUGGCGAGCGCCCCCGGCGGACAUCAAACACUGCAUCCCUACGUCGGAGCGAUUUAGUAAAUCUAAACAAAACUUUCAACAACGGAUCUCUUGGUUCUGGCAUCGAUGAAGAACGCAGC